Molecule: long non-coding RNA, 1970 nt
Organism: Cynoglossus semilaevis (tongue sole)
Lineage: Eukaryota; Metazoa; Chordata; Actinopteri; Pleuronectiformes; Cynoglossidae
Exons: 3
Source: RefSeq, a predicted model, not a curated record
AAUAAUUAUUGAGAAGGAUACUCUAUGUAAUUAAUUAAUUUAAUUACUAAGGAGUUGACAAAUGACUGUAACCUUUUAAUGAAGAAAAAGAGCUGAGGACAUUUAUGUUGUAUUUUUGAGUAAUUAUCUUCUCGAAAACAUUUUUUUUUGUUUGUUUUUGUUGAUUCCUUAUAAUCCAAGGUUACCUAAGGACAUUUUUGUUUGCUCUAUUGUGUUUGUUUUGUUGUCAUCCAGCUGCCAGUGACCAUUAGAGCCACUGCGCACUAGUGCACUUUAGCUUUUGUUAUAUUAGCUGUGCGCUCGAUGGAAACAUUUGUCAGAAAAAAGCAGAGGACUUUAUGGAGGACACCAAUACACACAUCAUCAUUCGCAUGGAAUGGAGGAGUUCCGUGAGUAUGUGUAUGUGUGUGUGUGUGUGUCUAGAGGCUUCAACUUCCAGUCAGAUGACAGGCUUGACAAUAGGUAAGUCUACAGCUGACAAGAUGAUUGACACAAUUACCAGGUGGAUUGUGAGCGACUGUACACUGAAUAAUAUUGUUGAGGACAUCGGCUUCACCGACAUUUUGAAAGCAACUACAUUUAGCUACAUUUUGAAUUAUGCUUGUUUUUUCCAUAUUAUUUAUACCAUUAUUCAAAUCAGUCACAAAUAAAAACAGGUGUGUGUCACACAAGAAAAACAUCUGUUUGUUUGUUUACUUCAGCAACUCACAGAAUGUUGAUUUUACUUGCUUAUUCAUGUUCAUUUACAAUCACGAUGAAUCAUGAUUUAUCACUAAUUAUUUUUGGUUUGAAUUAUUACACAAUUAUUUUAUAUGCAAGUUUAUUUGAGGGAUUUUUAGUAUUUUCUUUGAAAUGCAGCGUUCCCUCUGGUGGCUCAAACUCCAAAGCUACAUUAUACAGAAUUAUUUGGUUAAUAUAAAAUAAUGAAUUUUAUGUUUUAGGUUUUUUAUGUCACUAAUUUUCAAAUUCUGCUACCUGGAAAACAGAAACAAUUUGAACUAAAUGAACACUUUAUUACACAAACACUAGUUACAAAAGCAUUUUCCCAAGUCUGGAGAACUUUUACGACACCCUCGCUCUAAAAGGAGCCAAUUUUUUCUCUUUACAAUAUUGAGCAGUAUUUCAUCGAGUUUAUGAUGGGCGGGUUAAUUUCCUCAGAUACAGGGUUGUCAAAGUACAGGUCUGGACCGUUGGUUUCAUCAAAUAAAGAGGAAGUGCUGACAUUACCUUCAACAUAGUUGCAGAAUCACUUGAUGUACUUGGCGUAAGGCUACAGGUAAAUAAAACUGAACAGCAAUAGCUUCUGGGAAAUUGCAGUCUUAAGCUUUUUUUUUUUUUUUCUCCAAAUAAUGCCAGUUUUAAAUUGCAGCCUUGGAACAAAUCCUUGUCUGUACUACACAACAGACGCUGCAUCCUGAAUAAUGUACAUGUGGAGUGUUUGUUAGCAGGCACCACCCUGUCUGCACAUCCACGGAGACUGAGCCGGAAAUUUAAAAAGGCUACGACAAUGAAGUCAUUUUAGCAUGCUCAGGGGAGGCCAUCAUGGAUUUCAACUUCAAAUCGGAUGACAAAGGAGAGCUUAAUCUGUCAGCCCACUUGAGGUUCGGCAGAAACUAUAAAUCUGUUCCUGAUCCACGGCCUGGCAGGAUAUUAUAACAUUACUGCAGAUAUAGGAAAAGGACAACGUUGAGGAUAUACAGGUGAUGGACACUGAGUAGAGCUGUAACUGUCUCACUGAGACUGAUGUGUCACUUUAUAUCACCUAGUUAGGACCCUGGAGACUGGCCGUUUCUGGUUUAUCUCUUCACACGACACCACAAGUCCUGCGACGUCCAUAAAUGAAUAUAUUGUUGGCUGGUAGUAGAAGAAGACGGAAGAGGAUGCACACAAACAUAUUUAAAUUUAUUUCAUUUUAUUCUACUAAAUUUUCAUUAGAUUUUGUUUAUUCUAGUUUAUAAAAUUGCUGUCAA